Molecule: RNA transcript, 2341 nt
Organism: Oncorhynchus keta (chum salmon)
Lineage: Eukaryota; Metazoa; Chordata; Actinopteri; Salmoniformes; Salmonidae
Gene name: meiosis inhibitor protein 1-like
Exons: 9
Source: RefSeq, a predicted model, not a curated record
GCUGUUGUACUGUGUGUCUCUGUAGGGUGAACCACCAGUCCAGCCCAGUACAGUACAAACAGCUGCAGAAGCUGGUGGAAGACAUUAUUGCUCGGUGCACUGAGCUGCCCUUACCUGCCUCCUCGUGAGCCUCAGAGGAGAUGAGCCCAGCAGCCAGGCCUCGAGAGCGGGAGGGUUUCUACUCCAGGCCCCGGUCUGUUUCCAUGCCGCCUGCAGGCUAGUGGAGCAGUGUUCGUAUGAGCCUGGCCUGAAGGAGAAUGUGUUCACAGCUCCAUCCAAGCAGGUUCAGGGUCAGGACCCGCUGGAGUCCCUGUGUCUGUGUCUGCUUCAAUGCUGUGACACUGUUUGCAUCCCCACCGUCACAGUGAGCCCCGCCCCCAGCACACACACGUUCAUGCACCAUGUGUCUACAUGUGUAGAGGCACAGUGAGCCCCGCCCCCAGCACACACACGUUCAUGCACCAUGUGUCUACAUGUGUAGAGGCACAGUGAGCCCCGCCCCCAGCACACACACGUUCAUGCACCAUGUGUCUACAUGUGUAGAGGCACAGUGAGCCCCGCCCCCAGCACACACACGUUCAUGCACCAUGUGUCUACAUGUGUAGAGGCACAGUGAGCUCCGCCCCCAGCACACACACGUUCAUGCACCAUGUGUCUACAUGUGUAGAGGCACAGUGAGCUCCGCCCCCAGCACACACAUGUUCAUGCACCAUGUGUCUACAUGUGUAGAGGCACAGUGAGCUCCGCCCCCAGCACACACACGUUCAUGCACCAUGUGUCUACAUGUGUAGAAGCAUUGUAAGCCCCGCCCCUAGCACACACACGUUCAUGCACCAUGUGUCUACAUGUGUAGAAGCAUUGUGAGCCCCGCCCCUAGCACACACACGUUCAUGCACCAUGUGUCUACAUGUGUAGAGGCACAGUGAGCCCCGCCCCCAGCACACACACGUUCAUGCACCAUGUGUCUACAUGUGUAGAGGCACAGUGAGCUCCGCCCCCAGCACACACACGUUCAUGCACCAUGUGUCUACAUGUGUAGAGGCACAGUGAGCUCCGCCCCCAGCACACACACGUUCAUGCACCAUGUGUCUAUAUGUGUAGAGGCACAGUGAGCUCCGCCCCCAGCACACACACGUUCAUGCACCAUGUGUCUACAUGUGUAGAAGCAUUGUGAGCCCCGCCCCUAGCACACACAUGUUCAUGCACCAUGUGUCUACAUGUGUAGAAGCAUUGUGAGCCCCGCCCCCAUAGCCCAGGUGCUCCAGCACUUCUUCUCCAUCCUGUCGUACCGGUUCUCCCUUCUACCCUCCCUCAUGCCCCUCUUCGCUGCCAAACUGAGGCACCCUCUGGUUUCUUCAGGCUGGCUCUGGAGCACAAAGCUGUCCUCUAUGCAGGAAACAGAAACCUAGCUCUGAAUGCAGUCCACUGUGGUUUUCUGCAGAGGCUCAGUGUGUCUCUUCUGUCCCAACCAGACCCUGUAGCCAGCAUCCUCCCACAAGACUGUGAGGAGAUAGAGGCUGUGUUGAGGUCCAGCCUGCCCUCUCUGUGUUGUCGUGUGUGUGAGUGGCCCUCUCUGCUGUGUGAGUCCCCAGGGCCCCAAUGUGACCCUGCCGGCCCCAGGGCCACUCACUACUGUCUGCUCACUUUGCUGCACCUGGCCCUGCGGCAUGGAGACAGGCUGCUCCCUGACUCCACGGUGUUCUCCUGUGUGGUGACUGCUGUGCUCGGUGCAGGAGCAGGGAGACUCGGCCCUGCCUCCCUGUGUGCUCAGGUCUGCCCUCUACCUGCUGUCUGUCACACAGGACAAGAGCCCCGACCUGGACUGGGCUCCUCUAAACUGCAUCAGCAAGGCCCUGUCCUCCAGCCCCAGUUUCGCCUCCCUCUACACCCACCACCCUCCACUCCUACACUUCCUCUUCCGCUACCCAGAGCUGGCCGAGCACUUUGGGCCCCGGGUCCUGGAGCUGUGGUUGUCCCACCGUGCUGAGGCCACACUGCAGUCAGACACAAACAGUAAGAAGACAGAGGGCCCGUCAGAGCAGAACCAGGAUCCAGACAACACAGCCCUGCUGACUCUGCUGAAGAAGAGCCCCACUGUCAUACUGAACUUGCUGUUGCGGGAGGGAGACCCCGUGUACUGUACUGUCUUUGCCAACCCCAGCUCUCUGCAUGAACCCCUGCCUCUCUGUGUCUGUAGGGCAUGGUGUGUACCAGGGAGGCUCCCCUGGCAGAACGUGCUGUAGAGGUGCUGGGGAGUUUCCUGCAGGGCCGGCGGGGCUGUAAGGCCGGCCUGUGUACCCUACUCAGACCCACUCUGCUACAGGUGCUCCAGAGACUGGGC